RNA transcript from Xyrauchen texanus (razorback sucker), 5456 nucleotides. It is a transcript of the gene named mitotic-spindle organizing protein 2-like, with no coding region annotated. The record is from RefSeq and is a predicted model, not a curated record. The transcript has 2 exons. Lineage: Eukaryota; Metazoa; Chordata; Actinopteri; Cypriniformes; Catostomidae.
CGACAACCUGCCAAACACACACAAACCUAGAGGGAGUGCGCGCGCAUCUUAUUAUUUGAAAAAAGGAACACAUAUGUGAGAAUGCUGUUUGUAGACUACAGCUCAGCAUUCAACACCACAGUGCCCUCCAAGCUUGAGGUGAAGCUCUGGACUUAAACCGCUCGCUGUGCAGCUGGAUCCUGGACUUCUUGUCAAUCAGACGUCAGGUGGCUAGAAUGGGCAGCAACAUCUCCUCAUCAUUGACCCUCAACACUGGAGCCCCGCAGGGCUGUGUACUCAGCCCAAUCCUGUAUUCCCUGUACACACAUGACUGUGUGGCAACACAUGGCUCCAAUGCCAUCAUUAAGUUUGCUGACGAUACGACUGUGGUAGGUCUGAUCACUGACAAUGAAGAAAGACUCUGAAGAGCCUACAGAGAGGAGUAAGACCACUACAUCCUCACACUGUUCUACACCAGCAGUGUAGAGAGCAUCCUGACUGGCUGCAUCACUGCCUGGUAUGGCAACAGCACUGCCCUCAACCGCAAAGCCCUGCAAAGUGUGGUGCGACCUGCUAGACACAUCAUCGGAGGCUAGCUUCCCUCUCUCCAGUACAUAUAUACCAGGUGGUGUGUGAAAAAAGCUCAGAGGAUCAUCAGAGAGUCCAGCCACCCAAGCCACGGGCUGCUCUCACUGCUACAAUCAGGCAGGCGGUAACGUAGCAUCAGGACCCGCACCAGCGGACUACAUGACUGCUUCUUCCCCCAUGCAAUCAGACUUUUGAACUUUUGAUCUCUCUCGAUCAAUAUACAUCAGCACUGCACUUUAUUAAUCUUAUUAUCUUACACUGGACUGUCAUAAAUUAUAUUCACUCUAAACAAUACUGGCAACUGACUAUCAACCGACAGCCUGAACAUCAGUACAGCACAAUAUAACAUACUGUAUAUUUUAUAUAUAUAUAUAUAUAUAUCACAAGCAAGAUGUUGUACUGAAUAGAAGUUUUCAUCAACGUUUUCAUUUAUAAUGUGAUGCUCUUUUGUGCAACAAAAUUAGACCAAUGUUGUGUUUUAGGUUAUGUUGUGCAGAUCCUUACUAAAGAACUUCAUUAGAUAAAAACAAAUGCAAUGGUAUGUUGAAAAGUAUUUGUUUUAAGGUUUGGAUCCAUUUGACUAAACACAAUUUUGAUGAUGAAUUUGAAUUAUACUUAAGAAACAUACUUAAAAAAAAAAAAAUUAUUUUCAUCAGAAUUUUCUUAAAAUAUGUGAGGAGUGGGACAUUCAUUUUUUUAAACAAUUGUUACUUUCCAUACUUCAGCAUUUAGGUCUUUGGAUGAUUUAUUUUAAAAAGUUUUGCAAAGCCAUUAGACCUACAUAAAGUAUGCAAGAAGGAUGAGCACUGUUUAUUUGCAAGGAUGUUUCCAGGUAAAUUUACCAACAGAUAAUAGUUUAUUAGGUAUUAGUUUUCUUUUUGUUUUUUUCAUCUUGUUACACAUCGAACCUUUCGGACUCUAUCCUCUGAUUACCCUAUCCAUGUUUCCUCUGCUGUUUUGUUCCACUAUAUUUCGAUUUGGUGAUCUGCAUAUGACUUCCUGUAGAAGAGGAGUGUGUGGUUUCUGGAAAGAGCAUUAAAACUGCAGCCCCUCCCACUGCCUCUGCAACCCGCCCACCAAGGGGAGGGUCUAAGAUAGUGGUCUACAGCUCUGGUGACACAAGCGCUCAAGGUUUUUCCUCAUUCUCUCUCUUUUAGCUUUGGGCCAUCCUACCCUUUUAAUACAGAUGCUUUCAAGUUCAAGGUCUUCUAUUCAUUCCCAUGAUGGACUAUUUCACAUUUCUCUCGCUGACAUAACAAACUUGUCAUAACUAAUUCCUGCCUCAGUUUCAUGCCGCUUCAUUUCCCAUCCUCAUGCUCGGCUGAUUGUGUCUGUCAUGUACAGGCUCUAUGCUCUGAACUUUGGGGUUCAAUCCCCUAGAUCUGCUCACUUCAUGUGUUUCACGGACUCUGUGACUCAUCCAGCAGUAGGGUCCUCUGCAUUUCAUGGUAAAUGAGUGUCUGUUAAUGGUGUGUUUCGAAUGUGACCCUGUAAUAAAUGCACUAGUAAACCAGCAUCCUGCAAACUUGUCCUUCCAUCAACAUUGAAACGAAAAGCAUGCAUCAACAUCAUUAGCUUGAAACUGUUGGUAUCUGCUCACUUUGGCACUGCAUCACUAAUUACUAUGCAACUGUUUUCUUAGAAGUUGCCUUGGAUAAAAAAGGGUCUAAUUAAAUAUUGCAAAUCACCUAUAAAUUACAUAUUUCAACUCCCCAGGCAUCUGCAUCCCAAGAACUUGAAUGGCCACCAUUUAAAAACGUACAAACGCAUCUCCUGCUUCUCAUGUUCAAUUUUAAAUAUUUUAGCAAAUUGGUAAUGCUUUCAGCUAGCAAUAGGGUGAUUGUCAGGAAUCAAGACCUGUCAAGAAAAUGUCAUGCUCAUAAUUUACUCCAAAAUCUAAAGAAACAUUUUUGAAAUUCUCUUUUGCAUGUAGGAAAUCAAGCUUAUUUUAGGGCCAUCAAGAAUUUUUACAAUGUGACUUUAUUUUCAUGACCGCUAUGUAUGUUUUGUCCACCAGUUAUCAUAAAAAAAAAAAAGUUAACUUCAUACUAGAACUCCCUUGGCAUCGCCUAUUUUUGUUAAUUGUGCAAAAAAAUAUUUUUUACUAUAAUAUAGGCUAGUAAAACAUUUUUUUUUUUUUUUAUAGUAAUGAGAAUCUUCAUUGAAAACAAUGGGAUUUGUAAAAGUAAAAUGUCCAGUAGGGGCCUGGGUAGCUAAGCAAGUAAAGAUGCUGACUACCACACCUGGAGUUGCAAGUUCGAUCCAGGGCAUGCUGAGUGACUCCAGUCAGGCUUCCUUAAGCAACCAAUUGGCCCUGAUGCUAGGGUGGGUAGAGUCACGUUGGGUUAACCUCCUCUUGGUCGCCAUAACGUGGUUGCGGUUUCUCGGUGGGGUGCGUAGUGAGUUGUGUGUGCAUUCCUUGGAGAAUAGCGUGAAGCCUCCACACGCGCUAGGUCUCCGUGGUAAUGCACUCAACAAGCUGCGUGAUAAAGAUGCGUGGAUUGAUGGUCUCAGAUGCAGAGGCAACUGAGAUUCGUCCUCUGCCACCCGGAUUGAGGUGAGUCACUACGCCGCAAUGAGGACUUGGAGCGCAUUGGGAAUUGGGGAGAAAAGGGGAGAAAAUAAUCAUUUAAAAAAAUAAAUGCCCGGACACAUUGGUCAUGAUAAUUAUUAAGCGUUUUUAAAAUAUUGUCACAAUAUGAAAAGCUUUAAUGGUCCUAAAGGUAGGCUUUAUUUACUUUAAGCAAAAUAUAAUUUCAUAUUUCUCUUAAGGUUGAUUUGAGGUUAAAAUAUGACCAGGAUAUUUUCUUUUCGGGCUCAAUUUUUGUGUGUGUGCAAAGCGCAGCGAUACGUGCUAUUACUGUGCGAUACGUUAAUAAAGUGACACAAAGCACAAUUUGCUAUUUUCCUGAGAAAUAUGUAAUUUCGCUCAGAAGUUUCAAAAGCAAGUCGAAACUCGAUUCCUGCGUUUGCAGUUUGGACUUCCAACAGCAGGUGGUAAUAAGGUUCAUGUCCAAACUCUGAUAAUAUAGUGACUCAUCAAAUAAGUUGUAGCCUCUUAUUACACAAAACGUUUUGUGUUUAGCUAUCUAUAGUUCAUGGUUUAUUUUUCAAUUAUUAAUAUUAUAUUUACAGUUGUAUGUAUGAUCGAAAUUGUAUGGUAUUUUUCUACUUGUUGUCAUAGUGAUUUUUAAGUCACUGCCCAAGGUGCCGGUGAAAGAAGUUGGAGAGGAUAAAAUGUUUGGAGUUGGUAUGAAUUUUUUCUAUUUCUUCAUUUUGAUAAUAUUUUCGUUUGAAGUGUAAUUUGAAAUAAAAAUAUUUUUGGUUAAAUUGUUUUCUUUUUCAAUAAAUAAAUGUAAUUGUUUAAAAUCAAAAUUGACCGGUAGAAGUGUGUAUACUGACAUUAUCACUGUUAUUAUUAGCCAUGGUUUCUAGGUCAGUAGAUGAAAAUUAUUAAUAAUACUUGCAUUUCCUAUAAUUUAACGGAGCGUGCUUACAAAUGCUGAUGAGAAUAAAAAAAAUGUUUAAGCAUAUAAAAGGAGCGUGUCAAUAUUUUCAUUAUUCUGAUUUCCAACUUCUUAUGAAUGUGCUGUUUUUGUUUAUAUCACUGGUGCUUGAGGGAAUGGACUAUAUUUUAGGACACAGAUGGUGCAAUAACUGGAGAAGAACCUUAGAAUUAAAUUACACUUGACCCAGCCCAUCAGUGCAUUGUGCACAUGAUUUGGCCAAACCCACCUGCGUUUAGACUUGGCACAUGCUUGCACGAAAAUACCAAAAUUUCAUGGCCAUGCACGUUGACUUUGCGUUUGACUUAAAGUAUAGAGCAGCACUUAGUGCUCUUAAAAUAGGGCCCGACAGGUAAGACUGGUUAUUUUGUGAGAAUCACCCAGAAAGAGUAGUAUUUUACCAUGUCUAAAUCCAUUAGCAAAUCCAAUUGUGCCCCAAAAUCACUUAAAAAAUGCAAAGGAAAAAAAGUCUGCAGAUUCUCUCGAGGCCUGCUUAUACUCUGAUGGUAUAUUUGUAUGUAUUAAUCAUUGUUUUCUUUUGUGUUACAUUCUUGUGUGUAUUUGUGGUUCAGUAGGCAGUAAAACAAGUUCAGGGCAAGGGGAGAAGACUGCAAGAGAUGGUUCCAGUCAGCGGGUGCCACGGCAGGUCAGUGCCACCAGGGGGCAGAAGAGCGCCAAGAGUUCUGGCAGUAGCAGCUCCUCUUCUCAUCUCACCUCCAACUGAAGUUCUACAUACUAAACUCCCUCAAGUUACACUCGUUUGUUGCUGUCAUUGAGAGUCCUGAAGAAUUGGAAAAAUAAAAUGUUUUCACUGUAAAUAUUUACACUUGUUUUAAAGCCAUUGUAGUUAUCUCCUUUAGGAUACUUAGCGUGAAAAACCUUGUUUUACAUAAGCUUCAGUUAUGGUCUCUCAAGAUGCUAAUUUUAUGCAUGUAAUUUUGUAUGGUAUAUUUUCAGCUGUGGUGUUGCUAGUGGGACCAUCAGACCUAAAUAGAGUUUACACAUUCACACCAAAACAGUUAUUUAUGAAAAAUGCAUCAAUUCUUUAUUCAAAUUUUCCACUUUUGAAAUGUAACCUGAUCUUUUUGUUUUAGAGGAGUUCAAAAGCUGGUUCAUUUAUUCUGUCUUGAUAUUUUCUGUGUGUGAAAUGCUGCUUUUAUAUAUAUUUAGAUUUCUUUUGUAUGUUUGUUUUCAAGUAUAUUACUCAAAUUGUACCUUUGCAUUUUGCCUUUGGUUAAUAACACACCCUCUGUAAAAUCCAUGUCCCAAUAUUUGUACACAGAUACAUACUGUAUAAAUGCUUAACAUGAAGAAGCACAUGGCUGUGUAAACUGGUCUGCUAAAAGUCAAUGCACGUAUAUGAAGCAAAAUAAACACUUAAUU